UCUCUGAAUUCGAGACCAGCCAGGUCUACAGAGUGAGUUCUAAGACAGCCAGGGCUGUUACACAGAAACCCUGUCUCAAAGAAAACAAAUAUUAUUACUAUUAUUUGGGUAUUGGAUAUCAAAGUAAGACCUUGUGCUUGAGGCAAGAGAGAUGGCUCAGAGGUUAAGAGUGCUGCCUGUUCUUCCAGAGGUCCUGAAUUCAAUUCCCAGCAACCACAUGGUGGCUCACAACCAUCUAGUGCCCUGGCCUGCAGGCAUUCAUGGAGACACUGUAUAAAUAAUAAAUCUUAAAAAAAAAAUAAGACAUUGUGCUUGCUAAUCAGUCUCUCUAAGACUCCAUUACACCCCCAACCUUCUAAGGAUAUUUUAUAAGUUCAUCAUUGCAUUUCAUCAUUUAAAUCUUUCUAAGUCCUCAAGUCAUAAAAGGGCACCUGAGACCCAGCAAAAGGGUUUUUCGAGACAGGGAUUCUCUGAAGGGUUGGAGACUGUCUUUGAAGACCAGGCUGGCCUCAAACACAGAGAGUGCUGGGAUUAAAGGCCUGUGCCACCAACGCCCUGCUACAAAAGGGUUCUUGACCAAUGCUAUGUUUCAGGGUGCCUCGACCUUGUGCUGAUAUAUUUAUGAUUUAUUAAAUCUUGUCUGAGAAUUCAGAAAGCAAAGCCAGCCUCAAAAUAUAGAGAUCAGGCAGUGGUGGCACACACCGCUAAUCCCAGCAGCCACAGAGCUAGGUGGUGGUGGUACACACCUUUCAUCCCAGGACUCAGAAUUAAGAGGUAGACGUAUCUCUGUUAGUGCAAGGCCACACACAAAAUUGAUCCAGUCCUAAAAGAAACAGCUCACACAAAGGUGAUCUCAGCACCUGGGAUCAUACACUUUUAAUCCCAGCAUUAGGGAGUGGAGACAGGAAGAUAUGGCUGGAUGGAAGGAGGAACAAAAGGAGGAAGAGACAGGAAUUCAGAGCCUUUGCUUCUGAGGAUUCAUGGAAACAGGAUUGCCAUUUCAUCUGGGUAGAGGGUCAAACAACGAAGAAAAAGCGCAAUAAAGUCAGCCACCAUAGACACAGUGACAGUGCAGAUUUUCGGCACGUGACUGCCCUCUUGUGACCAGAUGCUGCAACUGUCAGCUAUCGCCCUGGAGGAGAGAAACGUCUUCCUGGCUACGAAUCUACUGUGUUCCAGAUUCCCGUGCGUCUCAGAUCUAAUCCUCAUCCUGUGGGAUGGGCGUUCUUAUUCUAUUUACGCAUGUGCAUGCUUAAGCCGAGGCUUCCAGAGAACAUCGAGCGGUAAAAAACCGGGCGGUUGUUAAGAGGGCCAACUUAGGCAGCAUUAAUGCAAAUGUCUGCUACUGCCUCAAGGCCUUGGGAAAAUGAUCAAACUCUCUGUUCCCAUUUCACUUCUGUUGCUGUGACCAAAAAAGCAAUUUAUGGAAGAAAGAGUUUAUUCAGCUUACAGCCCCAGGUUAGACCGUUACUUUAGGGAAGUCAAGGCAAGAACUUGAAGCAUUGUACCCACAGUCAAGAGCAGAAAGAAAAUAAACGCAUGGUUCUUGGCUUGCUA
Molecule: non-coding RNA, 1557 nt
Organism: Cricetulus griseus (Chinese hamster)
Lineage: Eukaryota; Metazoa; Chordata; Mammalia; Rodentia; Cricetidae
Source: RefSeq, a predicted model, not a curated record